AUCAGGUCAUAAAUGCGGUCGCCUGUAGAAGAAAUAAAUCAAUCUGAUUAAAGUGACAAUGUCGUAUUUCAAAAGGUGAAAGUGCAUCAUUCCUAUUUUUUUCUACUUUUUAACAUGAAGAGCACAUAAAGACAUUAGGUGCAACUCAAAACUUGAUGGUUUGAAGUUGAAGUCCCUGGAAGAUCAAUUAAUGCAAGAUAUUCUCCGCAGCAAAGGUAAAAUAGAUAGUUUAGAAUUCAAAAAGUUCAGGGAUAUAAGAUUAUAUAGCAUUGUGAUACGGAGAUUUUACACAUAUUUCAGAAAAUAGAUAUUAUAGAACAUAUUGAAUAGAACCCGAAAUACUGCAGAUAACAUUUCAGGAUGGAAUGGUAACCAAUAAGUGAGAAAGCACUCACCAACAGAAAGAUCACUAAAAUCAAGAAUGUAGCUGGGACUCCAUGACUUAUCAUCUCUAACAUCUUUGUAGCCAUUCGAGUCACUAUCCAUCAGACAAGCAUCUGCAUUGUUUCCACUCAAGCAAUAGCUAACACAAUUUGGUUCCAUGUGAACAUUGUCAUCCAUAA
RNAcentral lists this unclassified non-coding RNA (563 nucleotides) under Hevea brasiliensis (rubber tree). The record is from RNAcentral. Lineage: Eukaryota; Viridiplantae; Streptophyta; Magnoliopsida; Malpighiales; Euphorbiaceae.